RNAcentral lists this ribosomal RNA (425 nucleotides) under uncultured bacterium. RNAcentral's name for it is "bacterial SSU rRNA". It matches the Rfam family "Bacterial small subunit ribosomal RNA", at positions 354 to 794 of the family's 1533-position model. The record is from RNAcentral.
UGGGGGAAUAUUGGGCAAUGGAGGCAACUCUGACCCAGCAACGCCGCGUGAAUGAAGAAGGUCUUCGGAUUGUAAAGUUCUUUAGUGAGGGACGAAUAAAUGACGGUACCUCGAGAAUAAGCCACGACUAACUACGUGCCAGCAGUCGCGGUAAUACGUAGGUGGCAAGCGUUGUCCGGAAUGACUGGGCGUAAAGGGAGAGUAGGCGGUGCAACAAGUUAGGAGUGAAAUCCCGAGGCUUAACCUCGGAACUGCUUUUAAAACUGUUGUGCUUGAGUGAUGGAGAGGAAAGCGGAAUUCCUAGUGUAGCGGUGAAAUGCGUAGAUAUUAGGAGGAACGCCAGUGGCGAAGGCGACUUACUGGACUGUAACUGACGUUGGGGCACGAAAGUGUGGGGAGCAAACAGGAUUAGAUACCCUGGUAGU